Molecule: non-coding RNA, 145 nt
Organism: Triticum aestivum (bread wheat)
Lineage: Eukaryota; Viridiplantae; Streptophyta; Magnoliopsida; Poales; Poaceae
Source: Rfam
GUAAUACUCCCUCCGUCCGGAAAUACUUGUCAUUGAAAUGGAUGUAUCUAGAUGUAUAUGAAUAAAAAUGGAUGUAUUUGGAACUAAAAUACAUCUAGAUACAUCCAUUUCAAUGACAAGUAUUUCCGGACGGAGGGAGUAGUUG